GACGAACGCUGGCGGCGUGCUUAACACAUGCAAGUCGAACGGAAAGGCCCUGCUUUUGUGGGGUGCUCGAGUGGCGAACGGGUGAGUAACACGUGAGUAACCUGCCCUUGACUUUGGGAUAACUUCAGGAAACUGGGGCUAAUAUCGGAUAGGAGCUCCUGCUGCAUGGUGGGGGUUGGAAAGUUUCGGCGGUUGGGGAUGGACUCGCGGCUUAUGAGCUUGUUGGUGGGGUAGUGGCUUACCAAGGCUUUGACGGGUAGCCGGCCUGAGAGGGUGACCGGCCACAUUGGGACUGAGAUACGCCCCAGACUCGUACGGGAGACAGCAGUGGGGAGUAUUGCACAAUGAGCGGAAGCCUGAUGAAGAAGCGCCGCGUGCGGGAUGACGGCCUUCGGGUUGUAAAACGCUUUCGCCUGUGACGAAGCGUGAGUGACGGUAAUGGGUAAAGAAGCACCGGCUAACUACGUG
RNAcentral lists this ribosomal RNA (468 nucleotides) under uncultured bacterium. RNAcentral describes it as "partial 16S ribosomal RNA". It matches the Rfam family "Bacterial small subunit ribosomal RNA", at positions 28 to 507 of the family's 1533-position model. The record is from RNAcentral.